Molecule: ribosomal RNA, 500 nt
Filed under: uncultured bacterium
Lineage: Bacteria
Description: partial 16S ribosomal RNA
Rfam family: Bacterial small subunit ribosomal RNA
Source: RNAcentral
AUUGAACGCUGGCAGAAUGCUUUACACAUGCAAGUCGAACGGCAGCACGGACUUCGGUCUGGUGGCGAGUGGCGAACGGGUGAGUAACAUAUCGGAACGUAUCCAAUAAUGGGGGAUAACGAGUCGAAAGAUUCGCUAAUACCGCAUACGCCCUACGGGGGAAAGCUGAGGACCUUCGGGCCUGGCGUUAAUGGAGCGGCCGAUAUCUGAUUAGCUAGUUGGUGAGGUAAAGGCUCACCAAGGCGACGAUCAGUAGCUGGUCUGAGAGGACGACAAGCCACACUGGAACUGAGACACGGUCCAGACUCCUACGGGAGGCAGCAGUGGUGAAUUUUGGACAAUGUGCGCAAGCCUGAUCCAGCCAUUCCGCGUGAGUGAAGAAGGCCUUCGGGUUGUAAAGCUCUUUCGCAAGGGAAGAAAACUUACUUUCUAAUAAAGAGUGAGGUUGACGGUACCUUGAUAAGAAGCACCGGCUAACUACGUGCCAGCAGCCGCCGUAA